Molecule: ribosomal RNA, 403 nt
Filed under: uncultured bacterium
Lineage: Bacteria
Description: partial 16S ribosomal RNA
Rfam family: Bacterial small subunit ribosomal RNA
Source: RNAcentral
AUUGAACGCUGGCUGCCGGCCUAACACAUGCAAGUCGAGCGAGCGGCGGACGGGGGAGUAAUGUAUGGGGACUGCCCGCUAGAGGGGGAUAACUACUGGAAACGGUCGCUAAUACCGCAUACUAUCGGAUAACCCAUAUGGGAUUAGCUAGUAGGUGAGGUAAUGGCUCACAUGGGCGACGAUCCCUAGCUGGUCUGAGAGGAUGAUCAGCAAACAUGGGACUGCGACAGGGACCGGACUCCCAGGGAGCCAGAGGGGGGGAAUAUUGCACAAUGGGCGAAGGCCGGAUGCAGCCAGGCCGCGUGUAGUAUGAAGGCCCUAGGGUUGUAAGGUACGUUCAGUCGGGAGGCGUUACCGACAGAAGAAGCACCGGCUAACUCCGUGCCAGUCGCCGCGGUAAUUC